AAUGGGUCAGCGACUUAUAUUCUGUAGCAAGGUUAACCGAAUAGGGGAGCCGAAGGGAAACCGAGUCUUAACUGGGCGUUAAGUUGCAGGGUAUAGACCCGAAACCCGGUGAUCUAGCCAUGGGCAGGUUGAAGGUUGGGUAACACUAACUGGAGGACCGAACCGACUAAUGUUGAAAAAUUAGCGGAUGACUUGUGGCUGGGGGUGAAAGGCCAAUCAAACCGGGAGAUAGCUGGUUCUCCCCGAAAGCUAUUUAGGUAGCGCCUCGUGAAUUCAUCUCCGGGGGUAGAGCACUGUUUCGGCAAGGGGGUCAUCCCGACUUACCAACCCGAUGCAAACUGCGAAUACCGGAGAAUGUUAUCACGGGAGACACACGGCGGGUGCUAACGUCCGUCGUGAAGAGGGAAACAACCCAGACCGCCAGCUAAGGUCCCAAAGUCAUGGUUAAGUGGGAAACGAUGUGGGAAGGCCCAGACAGCCAGGAUGUUGGCUUAGAAGCAGCCAUCAUUUAAAGAAAGCGUAAUAGCUCACUGGUCGAGUCGGCCUGCGCGGAAGAUGUAACGGGGCUAAACCAUGCACCGAAGCUGCGGCAGCGACACUAUGUGUUGUUGGGUAGGGGAGCGUUCUGUAAGCCUGUGAAGGUGUACUGUGAGGUAUGCUGGAGGUAUCAGAAGUGCGAAUGCUGACAUAAGUAACGAUAAAGCGGGUGAAAAGCCCGCUCGCCGGAAGACCAAGGGUUCCUGUCCAACGUUAAUCGGGGCAGGGUGAGUCGACCCCUAAGGCGAGGCCGAAAGGCGUAGUCGAUGGGAAACAGGUUAAUAU
Molecule: ribosomal RNA, 822 nt
Filed under: Escherichia coli
Lineage: Bacteria; Pseudomonadati; Pseudomonadota; Gammaproteobacteria; Enterobacterales; Enterobacteriaceae
Description: partial 23S ribosomal RNA
Rfam family: Bacterial large subunit ribosomal RNA
Source: RNAcentral